This 398-nucleotide ribosomal RNA is filed under the name uncultured bacterium. Its description in RNAcentral is "bacterial SSU rRNA". It matches the Rfam family "Bacterial small subunit ribosomal RNA", at positions 361 to 776 of the family's 1533-position model. The record is from RNAcentral.
AUAUUGGACAAUGGGCGAAAGCCUGAUCCAGCCAUGCCGCGUGAGUGAUGAAGGCCCUAGGGUUGUAAAGCUCUUUCACCGGUGAAGAUAAUGACGGUAACCGGAGAAGAAGCCACGGCUAACUUCGUGCCAGCAGCCGCGGUAAUACGAAGGGGGCUAGCGUUGUUCGGAAUUACUGGGCGUAAAGCGCACGUAGGCGGAUAUUUAAGUCAGGGGUGAAAUCCCGGGGCUCAACCCCGGAACUGCCUUUGAUACUGGGUAUCUAGAGUAUGGUAGAGGUGAGUGGAAUUCCGAGUGUAGAGGUGAAAUUCGUAGAUAUUCGGAGGAACACCAGUGGCGAAGGCGGCUCACUGGACCAUUACUGACGCUGAGGUGCGAAAGCGUGGGGAGCAAACAGG